RNAcentral lists this long non-coding RNA (281 nucleotides) under Elaeis guineensis (African oil palm). Its description in RNAcentral is "long non-coding RNA (EGUI_LNC065888)". Lineage: Eukaryota; Viridiplantae; Streptophyta; Magnoliopsida; Arecales; Arecaceae. The record is from RNAcentral.
GCGUGCAUGCGAAGUAGAGGAUCUACAUUUCUAGGCCUCCGCGAAGGUUGAUUUCAGAUUUUUAGAUAUUUGAUCUCCUAUUCUACUACUAUCCAGGUAAGAAUUUGAUUCUUAUUCAUGUAUAUUUGUAAAAAAAUAUUUGAUGCAAACUGGGCUAUCUGAAGAGAAACAGUUUCCCUUCCCUUCAAUUGGUAUCAGAACAGACCUUUGAUACAUACAUGUAUAACUAAAUUUUUUUUAGAUUAUUUAUAUAUUGUAUAUAAUUGAGAUUUUAUGUUAGA